This 642-nucleotide ribosomal RNA is filed under the name Hepatozoon sp. RNAcentral's name for it is "SSU rRNA". It matches the Rfam family "Eukaryotic small subunit ribosomal RNA", at positions 82 to 714 of the family's 1831-position model. The record is from RNAcentral. Lineage: Eukaryota; Apicomplexa; Hepatozoidae.
CAAAACUGCAAAUGGCUCAUUAAAACAGUUAUUGUUUACUUGAUAAUAAUUUUUACAUGGAUAACCGUGGUAAUUCUACAGCUAAUACAUGAGCAAAAUCUCAACUUUAUUAGAAGAGACGCAUUUAUUAGAUAAAAAGCCAGUUCAUGCUUUUACAGUAUGAAAAUUGGUGAUUUAUAAUAACUUAGCAAAUCGCAAAGUGAAAACAGGCGAUAAAUCAUUCAAGUUUCUGACCUAUCAGCUUUCGACGGUAUGGUAUUGGCUUACCGUGGCAGUGACGGUUAACGGGGGAUUAGGGUUCGAUUCCGGAGAGGGAGCCUGAGAAACGGCUACCACAUCUAAGGAAGGCAGCAGGCGCGCAAAUUACCCAAUUCUAACAGUUUGAGAGAGGUAGUAACAAGAAAUAACAAUACAAGGCAGUUAAAAUGCUUUGUAAUUGGAAUGAUAGAAAUUUAAACCCUUUUUAAAGUAUCAAUUGGAGGGCAAGUCUGGUGCCAGCAGCCGCGGUAAUUCCAGCUCCAAUAGCGUAUAUUAAAAUUGUUGCAGUUAAAAAGCUCGUAGUUGAAGUUCUGCUGAAAGUAACCGGUCUGCUUUUAAUAAAAGUGGUAUCUUGGUAUGUAUUUAGCAAUGAUGUCCUUUGAA